CCUACGGGUGGCAGCAGUCGAGAAUCAUUCACAAUGGGGGAAACCCUGAUGGUGCGACGCCGCGUGGGGGAAUGAAGGUCUUCGGAUUGUAAACCCCUGUCAUGUGGGAGCAAAUUAAAAAGAUAGUACCACAAGAGGAAGAGACGGCUAACUCGGUGCGAGCAGCCGCGGUAAUGCAGAGGUGUCAAGCGUUGAUCGGAAUCACUGGGCGUAAGGCGUGGGUAGGCUGUUUCGUAAGUCGUGUGUGAAAGGCGCGGGCUCAACCCGCGGACGGCACAUGAUACUGAGCGACUGGAGUAGGGGAGGGGGACCCGGAAUGCGCGGUGUAGCAGUGAAAUGCGUAGAUAUCGAGAAGAACACUGAUGGCGAAGGCAGGUUCCUGGACAUUAACUGACGCUGAGGCACGAAAGCGUGGGUAUCGAACAGGAUUAGAUACCCCUGUAGUC
RNAcentral lists this ribosomal RNA (446 nucleotides) under uncultured bacterium. RNAcentral describes it as "partial 16S ribosomal RNA". It matches the Rfam family "Bacterial small subunit ribosomal RNA", at positions 338 to 795 of the family's 1533-position model. The record is from RNAcentral.